RNAcentral lists this long non-coding RNA (1332 nucleotides) under Felis catus (domestic cat). Its description in RNAcentral is "lncRNA (ENSFCAG00000040654.2)". The record is from RNAcentral. Lineage: Eukaryota; Metazoa; Chordata; Mammalia; Carnivora; Felidae.
GCAAUCUGUCGGCUCCUUGCUGGUAGCCAAGCAGGUUUGCUAAAUUAAAAAAGAAGGGGAAAACCUCUUCUUCUUUCAGCCCUCUGGGAUCAGAAGCAGGGGAACCCUGCCUGCAUACAGCCCAUUGAAAUGCAAACCCCUCAAAGAUGCUGCCAGCCUUUGCAGUGCUGUGCGGAUUAAGGAGCAGGCAUGGAGAUGUCGUGGAUUCUGGCUGAAACACAAUGGCAAUGAGAAAAACUGGCAUGAAUGGAGAAUCAAAGCAAGACGCUCAACAUGCUGGUUUUGUUUGUUUGUUCACCUGCUUGUGAGUCAGCGGUGGAAAAAGCAAGUCCAGUGCUAGAAGGUGGUCACCUUAUUUGCCUGUGACUCUGUGGCCCCAAGUUCUAUUCAUCUCGGAUAAACAAUCGAGCGCGCCCAGCUGCGAUGCUCCCAGACAGUGCUGGACGCCAGGGCCACCGGCUCCCUUCCCGAGGGCAGCUGCACACAAGACCGUCAACAGUGAGGAAAGUGACACCGGUACAUUAAAGGCAGGAAAGUCCCCCUCUCCCGCCGGUCCUCUGAUGAUAAUCCAGCCUAUCUGUCACCUAGAGUGUGUGCGUUCUCCUUCACAGACACAAGUAGGAGCCCAGGCUGCCCCUGCCAGCCCUACCCAUCCAGAUCUCAGCAUCCCACUCCGACCUCCUUUCAACCUGACCCACAGUGUAUCCACAGUGGACCCUGACAAGCAGAACUGAAGCACAGGGGUGUGUGCCCAUCACUCCAGAACAAAGCCUCCUUAACAAGAGCUACAUAAAUCUGGGUUCUGCAGGGAUGGGAAGUGAGAUGCCUUUCAAAUGAACCCCAGAAUGCCUACAGAUGACCUCUUCUCUGUCCUGCAGUGGUGGAGGGAUUUCCUAAGCCCCAAGAGAGCAAUUAAGUCAAACGAUUACGAAGAAUCCGAAACACUUCCCGCUGCAAAGUAGAAGUAAAUUAGACACAAACCAAAUUGGAAACAGAAAUGUAUAUUGCACUGCAAAAUGUGACUUCAGAUGCACUGAACCACACAAGAAAAUCAAUCAAAUUGCUUUAGAAUCCCAUCUUCUGGUACUGCCUUGUUUCAUAAUCCCAAAGAGUCUAACACAAGUUGAUCAUUAUGAAACUGACUUAAAAAGAAAAGACUUUUGACUAUUUCCAAAAUUUGCAUCAGCCUUUAAUAGAAGAAGGUCUGCCACUGCUAACGGUAUUCAAAAGAAUGUGCUGUGAGUCCUUAAAUUAACUCCAAAGAGACAGUCCAAAAAUGUUUUAGGAAAGGCAUCAUCACUGAAAUAAAUGAAUGGUUUCCCAAUGUGACCA